This 467-nucleotide ribosomal RNA is filed under the name uncultured bacterium. Its description in RNAcentral is "partial 16S ribosomal RNA". It matches the Rfam family "Bacterial small subunit ribosomal RNA", at positions 28 to 507 of the family's 1533-position model. The record is from RNAcentral.
GACGAACGCUGGCGGCGUGCUUAACACAUGCAAGUCGAACGGAAAGGCCUCUUUCGGGGGGUACUCGAGUGGCGAACGGGUGAGUAACACGUGAGUAACCUGCCCUUUACUUUGGGAUAACUUCAUGAAACUGGGGCUAAUACCGGAUAGGAGCUCCUGCUGCAUGUUGGGGGUUGGAAAGUUUCGGCGGUUGGGGAUGGACUCGCGGCUUAUCAGCUUGUUGGUGGGGUAGUGGCUUACCAAGGCUUUGACGGGUAGCCGGCCUGAGAGGGUGACCGGCCACAUUGGGACUGAGAUACGGCCCAGACUCCUACGGGAGGCAGCAGUGGGGAAUAUUGCACAAUGGGUGGAAGCCUGAUGCAGCAACGCCGUGUGCGGGAUGACGGCCUUCGGGUUGUAAACCGCUUUCGCUCAUGACGAAGCUUUGUGUGACGGUAGUGGGUAAAGAAGCACCGGCUAACUACGUG